AACGAACGCUGGCGGCAGGCUUAACACAUGCAAGUCGAACGCCCCGCAAGGGGAGUGGCAGACGGGUGAGUAACGCGUGGGAAUCUACCGUACCCUACGGAACAACAGUUGGAAACGACUGCUAAUACCGGAUGAUGACUUCGGUCCAAAGAUUUAUCGCCCAAGGAUGAGCCCGCGUAGGAUUAGCUUGUUGGUGAGGUAAAAGCUCACCAAGGCGACGAUCCUUAGCUGGUCUGAGAGGAUGAUCAGCCACACUGGGACUGAGACACGGCCCAGACUCCUACGGGAGGCAGCAGUGGGGAAUAUUGGACAAUGGGCGCAAGCCUGAUCCAGCCAUGCCGCGUGAGUGAUGAAGGCCUUCGGGUUGUAAAGCUCUUUCGCACACGACGAUGAUGACGGUAGUGUGAGAAGAAGCCCCGGCUAACUUCGUGCCAGCCGCCGCCGUAA
Molecule: ribosomal RNA, 447 nt
Filed under: uncultured bacterium
Lineage: Bacteria
Description: partial 16S ribosomal RNA
Rfam family: Bacterial small subunit ribosomal RNA
Source: RNAcentral